Nilaparvata lugens (brown planthopper) is the source of this 539-nucleotide long non-coding RNA. RefSeq lists it as uncharacterized. The transcript is spliced from 3 exons. Lineage: Eukaryota; Metazoa; Arthropoda; Insecta; Hemiptera; Delphacidae. The record is from RefSeq and is a predicted model, not a curated record.
UUGAAGCAGAAUAUUAUUAGCCUGGGAACAGUUUAUCGAGGAAAGAAAAAAUCAAACUAUUUACAAUUUUGAAUGAAAGCUCGUGCAUUCUCGAUUUUCACUGGGAGCUCCAUCGUUACCCUCUUCCUGGGUACAAACGUAUGACGUCACGCAUGAUAGACCUUUCCCAUAAACAAGGCAGUUUUAUGGGGAAGAAGAGAAGAAAAUUCAGUGCCAACAUUAAAAUGACUAGAGCGACUGAGGGAGAAUACAGAACUUUUGCUUGUUUAUACGUUGACAACUUUGACUGAAGCAAAAGUUGACGAUUCGUUGAAGGGUGAUUUACUGAACCGAAGCAAGCGUAAGGGAUACUCACAGUUGGUGGCCAGAAUCGAAAUCCACGUUCAAUGCAAGGGUGUCCGAAUUGAACCGAAUACUAGUGUGAUUUCACUUGCAAGAAUUCCUCUUUUGUAAGUUGAAAUGAAUCUAGAUCAUACUCACAGUACUAAGUAACAGUAGCCUAGAAUUUCCUGUUAGGUAAUAGUAUAUAGUAAAAUCUG